AAGAGAAAACUAUUGGAGAAAGUUAGACUGUUAGAACCCUAACACUGUGGUUCAGAAGAAAAGAGAAAAGAGUUGGUGGCCUCAAGUAAGAAAUUUAGGGGCCUACGUUGUCUUCCGGUGUCCGAGGUGUGUAACUGAAGAAGCUUAAAUCCCCUGGAGACCUGGAGGCCCUCCUGGAGAAAAACAUUCUUAACAUGAGUUAUAUCGCCUGAACCUGUUGUUUGGUAGAGUUCCCGUGUAGGGACUUAUCCCCAUGGGAGCUACAUCACCACCAGUUGGUCCACCGGGGCAGUCGUCAAUAUCAGACUUUUCGGCGCCAAUCAACUUUUUUUUUUUUUUUCCUUCUCGCCAAGCAUUGUAAAGCGAAUAUAUACAUGAUCAUCUCACAGUCAUUAGCUCAGUCCUCCAGAACUUCGUCGGAAGCUUCACCGUCUGCGAGCGCGUGUAACAAACAAAGAUGGCUGCAAAGAUGACUACCGGUAAGCCUCAAAUUCUUCCCAAACUUUUUCUCUGUAGUUUCUAAAUAGUUUUAGAAAAACUAUUAAUGAAUGAACUAUUAAUGAUUAACUACUAUUUACGAAUAACUGUGUUUUAGAAGUUACAGUAGAGGUUCACCAUAUGCCAAUUUAUCCUGGUAAGCAAUCCGUGAUCUUUUUAACCUGAAAGUGUUCUUUAAAUCAAAUCUUUAAGUGUAACUUUCUGUAUCUUUAAAGUCAGCGCCGAUGAGUUUGAAGGAAUAACCCUCACGCAAACAGACAUUGAUCUGUUAGCCAGGGCUGAAAGAUUGGUAUCCGAAGACAACCAAGAAACUGAAAAAGCAGUAAAAGCAUUGCUGUGUUCUGAAACCCCACCCCCCGUGCAGGGGACAAAUUGCUGUGUAACUGAAAUUGGUGAAAUAGGGGGGUCAGAGCAGACCCUCGGCACUUCAACAUGGGACUGACUCAAGUAAGCAGACGAACAAACUCUCCAGAGACGUGUGAGACAGCCAGGAGGACCGAAGUCGACUGUACAAGGUAAUAUAUUUAUCUGUGAUUAGAAGUAUAUACAAAAUAUGUGCCGUUUUGAUGAUUUGUAUUUUAACGAUUUUCCCCUCUGUCUAAACAGAACCAUCAAAACAGAACCUUCAAACGUGCGCCUCUCUGAGCACUGUGACUCCCACGGCAGCUCCACUCUCCCGUGAACCUUCUGCCCCUGCGAGGAGACGUAGAAUACGGCAAGCGUGUACCACUCUGACCCCUGUACUUACAGCGGGACCCACGGCAGCUCCACUCUCGCUUUCACCAGAUCCUUUCGAACCUGCGAGGCCGAUAAGGAGACGUAGGAACCAGAGACACAAGUCUAACAUUGUCAGG
This 1352-nucleotide long non-coding RNA is filed under the name Takifugu rubripes (torafugu). Its description in RNAcentral is "lncRNA (ENSTRUG00000032672.1)". Lineage: Eukaryota; Metazoa; Chordata; Actinopteri; Tetraodontiformes; Tetraodontidae. The record is from RNAcentral.